This 504-nucleotide ribosomal RNA is filed under the name Fibulobasidium sp. TJ7-2. RNAcentral describes it as "eukaryotic LSU rRNA". The stretch from base 133 to 286 matches the Rfam family "5.8S ribosomal RNA". The record is from RNAcentral. Lineage: Eukaryota; Fungi; Basidiomycota; Tremellomycetes; Tremellales; Sirobasidiaceae.
UCCGUAGGUGAACCUGCGGAAGGAUCAUUAGUGAUUGGCCUCGCGGCCGUUUCAUUUUCCAACCUCUGUGAACCGUGGCCUCCGGGCCUUAUUUAAACAUCGUGUAAUGAAUGUAAUUACUUUAAAAAACAAAACUUUCAACAACGGAUCUCUUGGCUCUCGCAUCGAUGAAGAACGCAGCGAAAUGCGAUAAGUAAUGUGAAUUGCAGAAUUCAGUGAAUCAUCGAAUCUUUGAACGCACCUUGCGCCUUUUGGUAUUCCGAAAGGCAUGCCUGUUUGAGUGUCAUGAAACCUUCAACCCCCGGGUUUAUUCCCGGUGGGCUUGGACUUGGGCGUCUGCCGUUCGGCUCGCCUCAAAAGAGUUAGUGGGAUCAGCCCGUGCUAGACGUGAUAAGUUUCGUCUCUGUGUGCGGCGAGGACCGCUCACAACCCCCAUAUUUUUUGCUCUGACCUCAAAUCAGGUAGGACUACCCGCUGAACUUAAGCAUAUCAAUAAGCGGAGGA